Molecule: ribosomal RNA, 786 nt
Filed under: uncultured Bacillota bacterium
Lineage: Bacteria; Bacillati; Bacillota
Description: bacterial SSU rRNA
Rfam family: Bacterial small subunit ribosomal RNA
Source: RNAcentral
CAAGUCGCACGAGAAAGGGAGCAGUCCCAAGUAAAGUGGCGCACGGGUGAGUAACACGUGGAUCAUCCACCUUCUUGUGGGGAAUAACCUGGGGAAACCCGAGCUAAUACCGCAUAAGCCCGAGAGGGGAAAGCAGCAAUGCGCAGGAAGAGGAGUCCGCGGUCGAUUAGCUAGUUGGUAGGGUAAAAGCCCACCAAGGCUAUGAUCGAUAGCCGGCCUGAGAGGGCACACGGCCACACUGGCACUGAAACACGGGCCAGACUCCUACGGGAGGCAGCAGUGGGGAAUCUUGCACAAUGGGGGAAACCCUGAUGCAGCGACGCCGCGUGGGUGAUGAAGUCCUUCGGGAUGUAAAGCCCUUUCGACGGGAACGAUAAUGACGGUACCCGGAGAAGAAGCUGCGGCUAACUACGUGCCAGCAGCCGCGGUAAUACGUAGGCAGCAAGCGUUGUUCGGAGUUACUGGGCGUAAAGAGUAUGUAGGCGGUUGGGUAAGUUUGGUGUGAAAUCUCCCGGCUUAACUGGGAGGGUGCGCUAAAGACUGCCUGGCUCGAGUGUGGGAGAGGAAAGCGGAAUUCCUGGUGUAGCGGUGAAAUGCGUAGAUAUCAGGAGGAACACCUGCGGUGUAGACGGCUUUCUGGACCAUAACUGACGCUGAGAUACGAAAGCGUGGGUAGCAAACAGGAUUAGAUACCCUGGUAGUCCACGCCCUAAACGAUGCAUACUUGGUGUUGGCCAUUCACUUGGUCAGUGCCGGAGUUAACGCGUUAAGUAUGCCGCCUGGGGA